UACGAAGGGGGCGAGCGUUGUUCGGAUUUACUGGGCGUAAAGGGCGCGCAGGCGGCGCAUUUUGUCAGGCGUGAAAGCCCCGGGCUUAACCUGGGAACUGCGUUUGAUACGGAUGGGCUAGAGUUCGGGAGAGGAGAGUGGAAUUCCCAGUGUAGAGGUGAAAUGCGUAGAUAUCGGGAGGAACACCAGUGGCGAAGGCGACUUCCUGGCCUGUUCCUGACGCUGAGGCGCGAAAGCUAGGGGAGCAAACGGG
RNAcentral lists this ribosomal RNA (253 nucleotides) under uncultured bacterium. Its description in RNAcentral is "partial 16S ribosomal RNA". It matches the Rfam family "Bacterial small subunit ribosomal RNA", at positions 524 to 776 of the family's 1533-position model. The record is from RNAcentral.